This 88-nucleotide transfer RNA is filed under the name Cryomorphaceae bacterium. It matches the Rfam family "tRNA". Rfam says of the family: Transfer RNA (tRNA) molecules are approximately 80 nucleotides in length. Their secondary structure includes four short double-helical elements and three loops (D, anti-codon, and T loops). Further hydrogen bonds mediate the characteristic L-shaped molecular structure. tRNAs have two regions of fundamental functional importance: the anti-codon, which is responsible for specific mRNA codon recognition, and the 3' end, to which the tRNAs corresponding amino acid is attached (by aminoacyl-tRNA synthetases). tRNAs cope with the degeneracy of the genetic code in two manners: having more than one tRNA (with a specific anti-codon) for a particular amino acid; and 'wobble' base-pairing, i.e. permitting non-standard base-pairing at the 3rd anti-codon position. Lineage: Bacteria; Pseudomonadati; Bacteroidota; Flavobacteriia; Flavobacteriales; Cryomorphaceae. The record is from Rfam by way of RNAcentral.
GGAGAGGUGGCCGAGUGGCUGAAGGCGCACGCCUGGAAAGUGUGUAUACCGUAACCCGGUAUCGGGGGUUCGAAUCCCCCUCUCUCCG